Andrographis paniculata is the source of this 2243-nucleotide RNA transcript. RefSeq lists it as uncharacterized. NCBI's taxonomy places the organism in Eukaryota, Viridiplantae, Streptophyta, Magnoliopsida, Lamiales, Acanthaceae. The record is from RefSeq and is a predicted model, not a curated record. The transcript has 12 exons.
AUAACAUAAAAUGAAAAAUAAAAACACAAAUGGCGGCAUCGCUGCUAUGUUUUUACUGCCGACAAUCUUCCCUUUGCUCCUCUGACAAUGCCUAACGAUUCUUCUUUCCGUCGUGUCGUCUGUUUGUUUAUUCCUAAAGCUGUGUUUGAUUAGUUGAGCAAUUUGGGGAGCAGAAAAUCACAUAAUCGUGAUUUGAGGAGUUUACCGAAAUAGGUAUUGGCUUGUAUACAGUGUGUUUGUGCAUUUGCGAAUACAUACAUACUGUUCUAUUUGCUGCCGAAGGUGGUAUCGUGGCAUUGCCGAAACGGCCCUUCUUUUUGGUUCGUUCGGAGCAUUAAUUUCCUCCUUCGUUUUUCACUCUAACCAUGAGGAUGGGUGAAACUCCGAUAAAUACACAAACUUCUAUGUCAAAGCACGCUUUCUUUGAUCUUUCUCAUGUUUCUCCUCUGGUCUUCUUGUAUCUUCUAAAAGAAUGCUAUGUCUAUGGAACGUAUAAAGCCUCAGUGAAGUUUCGUGCAUUACAGCAGCAAUUAUAUCUUGUUUUCACCAACAACUCCGUUAACGGACCACCAAUUCUAGUUGCCCGCUGCCUCUACAUAUUGCCCUUGUUUGAAUCAAACUGCGAUGGGUUCAGCCAUUUGGUACUCUCUGCUCUCCGUCGUUUCCUGAAAGUAGCGAACAGCAAUGAAGACUUAUUGAAGGCCAAGCUUUGUGCCGCUGAGUUAUUACUGGACAUCAUUGACGGUACCUUGUCUCAUGAUGAAGGGAUUCUAAUCAAGACAUUUCAGGUCUUUGAUGUCAAGUUACCUGACAUUGAUAAGGUGAUGAGCAAUCGUCCAUCUUUGAGGACAAGGUUUGGAAAGGAAACGGCAAACGAAGUGGUUGAGCAGUAUGUCUUCAAGCUGAUAGAACUCCAGUCAUACAUGACGGCUGUUGAAAUGUCGACACACUUCUCUAUCCAUCAGUCGGGAGAGUCAUUUCUGCUAAAGAUAUUGGAGUGCAGGCAACUAAAAGCAGCAGAGAAGUGGGCGACGUAUAUGGGGAAGCCAAUGUUAUGCCUGCUUGUCCAGGAAUAUGUUAAACAGAAGCUGUUGAAACCUGCAUAUGAUAUUAUAAAGAAUCACAAUCUGCGCCAGGAAUUCCCAGAACUCUAUCAUCAGGGCAAAGAAAGCGCACUAAAGAAGUUAGCAGAAAAAGGUGUCUGGGAUGUGGCAGAGGCAAGAGCUAAAAGCGAUCGGCAACUUCUCGAAUAUUUGGUUUAUUUAGCAAUGGAAGCUGGCUAUUCUGAAAAAGUGGAGGAGCUCUGCAGCCGAUAUUCACUCGAAGGCUUCUCAAUUCAGAAAGAGCCGGACUCAAAUGUUACACAGGGCCGGUACUUGAACCUUCAUGAACUGUCCAUUAAGGAUGUGUUUUGGGUUGAUGAAGUCAAUAGUUUGCGCGAUGCGAUAUACCACUUGGAGGAGUGCAAAGUGGUUGGAGUUGACUGCGAAUGGAAGCCUAAUUAUGAAAAGGGCAGCAAACCAAGUAAGGUUUCCAUAAUGCAAAUUGCCUCAGAGGAGAAGGUCUAUAUAUUAGACCUGAUCAGGCUGUAUGAGGAUGUCCCGAGUAUCCUAGACAAGUGCCUUGCCCGGAUAUUACAAUCCCCGAGUAUUUUAAAACUGGGCUACAAUUUCCAGUGCGACGUAAAGCAGCUAUCCCAUUCGUAUGGAGAAUUGAGUUGUUUCAAGCACUUUGAGAUGCUGCUCGACAUCCAGAACGUGUUCAAAGAACCAAGGGGUGGCCUUUCAGGACUGACUGAGAAAAUACUGGGAAUUGGUUUGAACAAGACGCGGCGAAAUAGCAACUGGGAGCAACGGCCGCUGAGCCAUUACCAGCUGGAGUAUGCGGCGUUGGAUGCGGCGGUGCUCCUCCACAUAUUCCGACAUCACUCUUCGCCUGCCAACAUCAACUCCAGCAACGAAUGGAAAUCACACAUCGUCUCACAUAUGGAUAGCUGAGAAAUAAUUAUGAAUAUGAUAGUAAGAAGUCCCAACCAGCACAGAUCUAUCUAUCCAUCUUACAGGAGGAGGGAGGAGUACAGGAGACCUGACCUACCGGUUUGUGUUCCAAAUCGAUCCAAAAUCACAUUUUUUCUUCUUCUUACUUUCACUUUCACUUUCACUUUCACACCACGUAAAUAUAAUAGUCGUGUCUAAACAUACUAUUGCAUAUAGUUACGAGGAAUAUAAGCUAUUGUACACCAU